This is a long non-coding RNA of Pistacia vera, 1836 nucleotides long. RefSeq lists it as uncharacterized. The record is from RefSeq and is a predicted model, not a curated record. Lineage: Eukaryota; Viridiplantae; Streptophyta; Magnoliopsida; Sapindales; Anacardiaceae. The transcript is spliced from 4 exons.
UUGCAACUUUUUGCCAACCAAAUCACUGAUUACAUCACAUCUAACCAAAAGCAAAUUUUGGUCAAGCGCACGGCUACGAACAUUACACGUGUACGGAUAGAGCUAAUCUCAACCGCUAAAAUUAGGGUUAGCUUUGCCUCUUUCCUCACAAAACAAAGAACAUGCUUAUUUUCUCCUGAUUUUUCCUUGUCAAAAUCUAAUUUUCUCUCGAUUUUUCUUAGUUACCCUUUCUCUCGUCAAAACACUAAAAAGAAAAUCUAAAAGCCAUACGAUGAGCAUCUACUUGAGUCGAUUAUUUCCAAGAUCUAAUUCAAGUUUUCUCUUAUGUAGUGGAAACGCCUUACAAUCUGAAGUUUUUCGCUUAAGGGACAAAAUGUUCUUGGUGGAUGCAGGGAUUGGGACCCCCAAAAUUUGUAUGCAAGAUGAGCUUACAGGCGUGCCAAUCAACCGAGCCACCAGGUUUGAGAAUAUGGUGGGAUUUAAGGAUCUAGUGGCCCGUGAAUCACUGAUCAGAGAGAAGAUGUUGGAGAGAUUCUUCAUCGAUCUAGUGGCCGGUGAAUCACUGAUCAAAGAGCAAGCAGCCGCCAGGUUUACUGAUUUGGUGGGAUCCACAGAUGUAGUGGCUGGUGAGCCGCUUCUUCUUCUUCCACGAAAAUUCAGACAAGAGCGAGCUUGGAUGGAACUGAACAAGAUUUGGCGAACGAAUACAAAGGUCAAAGGCUUUAUUAUUGAGAAAGUCAGAGGAGGUUAUUCGGUAGCCAUCGCAGGUUUCAUUGCUUUUCUUCCAUUCCGUCCUCUUCAUUUUAAAAAUCAAAGGAUGUUGAAUGAUCGAUUCGCCAUUGAGAGCCUUAACCCCAAAAGGACGCAAUUGGUGGUGUUCUAACAAAAAAUAAAAAUUGUAAUUUUUUUUUUUUUUUUUUUUUUUUUUCUUGUUGAGUUGAAGCUGUUUCUUGGUUGUUUAUUUGUUUGUAGGAUUGUUGAUUUAAUAUUUGUGAUGAAGGAGUAGGUAGAAAUGAUUUUGAUUAAUUGGAAUGUGUUGAUUUUCAUUCAGUGUUGGUUUGAGUUUGAUUUGGAUUAUAGUUAUUAUUUUUGGGUUAAAAUUAUUUUGUCCAAUUCGUGAUGUGGAGAUUGAACAUACACUCACUGGUUUGCGUUUACUGAGAUCAUGUUUCAAUGAGGAACGGCUUGAAAACCCCCGUGAUUCAAUUUUUCAAAGAAAAACUUGCAGACCUUUCAAUUGUAAGAAACGAAGAAAAUGGGCAUUUUGAAGUGCAAUGGAAUGAUAAAGAUGGUAAUUCAUGUAUUUACAAUGCUGAUGGAAGAGAUCUGCAUACUGCUCUGCUGCAUAGGAUGUCCAUUGCUUAUCCUUUUUGCUCUGCUGUUCCAUCUUUUGGUGGCUAGUUCUCAAUCAAAUCUGUUAAAACAAGGGUUCUAGGUGCUGAUAACCUGCAGAUCACAGGCUUUGUAUGUUCUUUCUGUAUUCUUCUUGCCACUAGUUUCUGGAGGAGCCUUGUGAUUCUCAGAUGCUUGGAAUGCAUGAUGCCUUUCGAACUCCUGGGGCUACCAGCCAAAGGCUAUCUAUGGGAAUGACUCGAAAACGUUGAGGCUGCCUAAGCCUGGUGAGAUGCUUCUUUCUGUUCAUAGCUCACCUCUCGGUGUUUACAAGGAGGAGAACAUGGAAGCAAUACAGUGUAUGCAUUUACAUAUGAGAAUCUCUUAUUCUUGUCAUUGAGGUGCACAUGAUUUACAUUGUGUUCUGGAAAUGGAACUACUUUAUCAUUUUGGAUUACAUUAACUACCCUUACUAAACAAAAUUACAUAUGCUUUUAUGUUUCA